Molecule: transfer RNA, 76 nt
Filed under: Burkholderia multivorans
Lineage: Bacteria; Pseudomonadati; Pseudomonadota; Betaproteobacteria; Burkholderiales; Burkholderiaceae
Description: tRNA-Gln
Rfam family: tRNA
About the family: Transfer RNA (tRNA) molecules are approximately 80 nucleotides in length. Their secondary structure includes four short double-helical elements and three loops (D, anti-codon, and T loops). Further hydrogen bonds mediate the characteristic L-shaped molecular structure. tRNAs have two regions of fundamental functional importance: the anti-codon, which is responsible for specific mRNA codon recognition, and the 3' end, to which the tRNAs corresponding amino acid is attached (by aminoacyl-tRNA synthetases). tRNAs cope with the degeneracy of the genetic code in two manners: having more than one tRNA (with a specific anti-codon) for a particular amino acid; and 'wobble' base-pairing, i.e. permitting non-standard base-pairing at the 3rd anti-codon position.
Source: RNAcentral
AGGGGGUAAAUCGAUUGGAGCAGAUACUUGGCUUUGACCCAAGGUGAGUCGGGUUCGAUUCCCACACCCCCUUCCA